This 253-nucleotide ribosomal RNA is filed under the name uncultured bacterium. Its description in RNAcentral is "partial 16S ribosomal RNA". It matches the Rfam family "Bacterial small subunit ribosomal RNA", at positions 524 to 776 of the family's 1533-position model. The record is from RNAcentral.
UACGGAGGGUGCGAGCGUUGUCCGGAAUCACUGGGCGUAAAGAGCUCGUAGGCGGUCUGUUGCGUCCGCUGUGAAAACCCGGGGCUUAACCCUGGGCUGGCAGUGGAUACGGACAGACUAGAGGUAGGUAGGGGAGAAUGGAAUUCCCGGUGUAGCGGUGAAAUGCGCAGAUAUCGGGAGGAACACCGGUGGCGAAGGCGGUUCUCUGGGCCUUACCUGACGCUGAGGAGCGAAAGCGUGGGGAGCGAACAGG